Molecule: long non-coding RNA, 319 nt
Filed under: Brassica napus (rape)
Lineage: Eukaryota; Viridiplantae; Streptophyta; Magnoliopsida; Brassicales; Brassicaceae
Description: long non-coding RNA (BNAP_LNC027198)
Source: RNAcentral
UAAAUUAUUUGAUAAAAACAAUUGAAAGAUGUUCAUUUACCAUGAAAAAGAGUUUAGCAUACAUUAAUACAAAUGUAGAAUAUGGUAUAAAUUUUAAAACAACACUAAAGAUUAUAGGCUUCAGUAUGUAAAGUAUUUACGAAAAACUCAAUAUUUUUGUAGGGGGUUGGUUAGCCCAUAGAUUUUGAGAAAAUUUCAAAAAAUAUGAAAAUAGUUUUUUAAUGCUUAGUCGCAUCCUGCACUAACAUAUGAUGAUGUUCAAAGAGGUUUGGAGCCUUUGUGCUCUCCGUUUAUCAAGAAAAUAAUAAUUUUAUAUUGG